GAUGAACGCUGGCGGUGUGCCUAAUACAUGCAAGUCGAGCGAACAGACGAGGAGCUUAUUCCUCUGACGUUAGCGGCGGACGGGUGAGUAACACGUGGAUAACCUACCUAUAAGACUGGGAUAACUUCGGGAAACCGGAGCUAAUACCGGAUAACAUGCUGAACCGCAUGGUUCAAUAGUGAAAGACGGUCUUGCUGUCUCUUCUCGAUGGAUCCGCGUCGCAUUAGCUAGUUGGUAAGUUAAAGGCCUACCAAGGCAACGAUGCGUAGCCGACCUGAGAGAGUGAUCGCCCACACGGGAGCGUGGACGCGGACCAGGCGCCUACGGUAGGCAGCAGUAGGGAAUCGGCCGCAAUAGGCGGGAGCCUGGCAGAACGGCGCCACGUGAGAGAAGAAAGUCUUGGGAUCGGAAAACUCGGUUAUGGGGUAAAAACAAAUGUGUAAGUAACUAUGCACGGCUUGACGGUACCGGGUCAAAAAGCAACGGCUAACUACGUG
This 497-nucleotide ribosomal RNA is filed under the name uncultured bacterium. Its description in RNAcentral is "partial 16S ribosomal RNA". It matches the Rfam family "Bacterial small subunit ribosomal RNA", at positions 28 to 507 of the family's 1533-position model. The record is from RNAcentral.